This is a long non-coding RNA of Oryza brachyantha (malo sina), 576 nucleotides long. RefSeq lists it as uncharacterized. The record is from RefSeq and is a predicted model, not a curated record. Lineage: Eukaryota; Viridiplantae; Streptophyta; Magnoliopsida; Poales; Poaceae. The transcript has 2 exons.
UGGCGAGACGGCGUCGCCGUGAGGUUCUUUUGGCCCUAGUAUUAAAGGAAGAGGUAUCCAUGGCAAAGACUAGCCGAGAACCUCCGCUGCUGCUGCAGCAAUUACAGUUAGCUCCUUAAUAAUAGCUAGUGUCAGAAAGACCGACCUGCCGCCGUCGCGCGAGCAGCUCGCCGGCCGGAGUCUCUCUCGAUCCGCCGGUGCACGCUCCUACCUCCUCCGCCGGUCUGUGGGAUUGGCAAAAUAUUUUGAAGGGCUUCCUGUCGGGUUUCCGCUGGCCCCGCUGUUGGGAUCUCGAUUAAAAUUAGGCAUGAUAUGCGAAAGGGCCCGUAGCUUACUGGUUAUAUAAGGAUCUAGUAGAUUCAAUUUAUCGUUGGAGCGAAUUUUUUAGAAUUCUAAUAGCUUUGUGCUCUCAGCGUGAGAUGACGUGCCCAUUGAGACCCCAGAAGAGGGGGCGUUGUAAUGUGUUCUCAUAAAAAAAAUUAGGCAUGAUAUCCGAAUUAUCUCCGGUAAGACCCCAGAAGAGGGAUAAAAGAAAUUAUAUAUCUUUGGUGAGAACGAAGAAGAGAUAAUUAGAAA